GGUUUUAUAGUCAAUAAUGAUAUUAAAUUGCAAAUUUAAAGGUAAAUUCAAAUAUUUUAAAACUU
This 65-nucleotide transfer RNA is filed under the name Milichus apicalis. Its description in RNAcentral is "tRNA-Cys". The record is from RNAcentral. Lineage: Eukaryota; Metazoa; Arthropoda; Insecta; Coleoptera; Scarabaeidae.